UACGUAGGGUGCAAGCGUUGUCCGGAAUUACUGGGUGUAAAGGGUCCGCAGGCGGGUAAGCAAGUCGGUGGUGAAAUCCUGCAGCUUAACUGCAGAAUUGCCUCCGAUACUGUUUAUCUUGAGUUCGAGAGAGGAUGAUAGAAUUCAUGGUGUAGCGGUGAAAUGCGUAGAUAUCAUGAAGAAUACCGGUUGCGAAGGCGGUCAUCUGGCUCGAUACUGACGCUCAGGGACGAAAGCGUGGGGAGCAAACAGG
Molecule: ribosomal RNA, 253 nt
Filed under: uncultured bacterium
Lineage: Bacteria
Description: partial 16S ribosomal RNA
Rfam family: Bacterial small subunit ribosomal RNA
Source: RNAcentral